GUUUAGAGGUUAUGUUUGUUGGAUCUUGUAGUCUUGUAUUUCCUCUACAAGAUCCAAUUUAUAGAUUGUCCAAAUUCGUUAAUAUGAGAGAGUUAUUCACGGUCAAAGUAGCCCACUCGGUUCUGCCUUAUGAAGAUCUAGGUAGGCUCAAGAACACCUAUAGCGACGGUUCUGUCACUAUAGGGGCCUUUAGCGACAGUUUUAAUUAUUUUUAAAUUUCUGAUUUUCCGGAAAUUAAUUUAAAAAUUAGAAAAAUUAGUUUUUAAUUAUUAAAA
This 275-nucleotide long non-coding RNA is filed under the name Panax ginseng (ginseng). Its description in RNAcentral is "long non-coding RNA (PGIN_LNC013166)". Lineage: Eukaryota; Viridiplantae; Streptophyta; Magnoliopsida; Apiales; Araliaceae. The record is from RNAcentral.